UUGCUACUUUGCCGGCGAGCGGCGGACGGGUGAGUAAUGUCUGGGAAACUGCCUGAUGGAGGGGGAUAACUACUGGAAACGGUAGCUAAUACCGCAUGACCUCGCAAGAGCAAAGUGGGGGACCUUCGGGCCUCACGCCAUCGGAUGUGCCCAGAUGGGAUUAGCUAGUAGGUGAGGUAAUGGCUCACCUAGGCGACGAUCCCUAGCUGGUCUGAGAGGAUGACCAGCCACACUGGAACUGAGACACGGUCCAGACUCCUACGGGAGGCAGCAGUGGGGAAUAUUGCACAAUGGGCGCAAGCCUGAUGCAGCCAUGCCGCGUGUGUGAAGAAGGCCUUCGGGUUGUAAAGCACUUUCA
Molecule: ribosomal RNA, 358 nt
Filed under: Yersinia mollaretii
Lineage: Bacteria; Pseudomonadati; Pseudomonadota; Gammaproteobacteria; Enterobacterales; Yersiniaceae
Description: bacterial SSU rRNA
Rfam family: Bacterial small subunit ribosomal RNA
Source: RNAcentral